GCUGGGCAUGAUGGCGCACGCCUGUAAUCCCAGCACCUCCGGAGGCUGAGACAGGAGGAUGGCGAGUUCAAAACCAGCCUCAGCAAUGGUGAGGUGCUAAGCAACUCAGUGAGACCCUGUCUCUA
RNAcentral lists this small RNA (125 nucleotides) under Marmota monax (woodchuck). Lineage: Eukaryota; Metazoa; Chordata; Mammalia; Rodentia; Sciuridae. The record is from RNAcentral.